Non-coding RNA from Chionomys nivalis (European snow vole), 73 nucleotides. The record is from the annotation of a RefSeq genome assembly. NCBI's taxonomy places the organism in Eukaryota, Metazoa, Chordata, Mammalia, Rodentia, Cricetidae.
ACCCAGCUAGCUCAGCAGGUAGAGCAUGAGACUUUUAAUCUCAGGGUCAUGGGUUUGGAUCCCACGUUGGGCA